CCCCGUGCAUCAUCGUGGGCACCUGCAUCCAAAACGUAGUGAGCUAGAGUACGGUAGAGGGCUGGUGGUAUUUUCCGGCGCAGCGAUGAAAUGCGUAGAUAUAGGAAGGCAACCCCAGUGGAGAAGGCGACCACGUGGACUGAUACUGACACUGAGGUGAGAAAGCGUGGGCAGCAAACAGGAUUAGAUACCGUGGUAGUCCACGCCGUAAAUGAUGUCAACUAGUUGUUGGGUUCCUUGAGAACUUAGUAGCGCAGCUAACGUGAUAAGUUGACCGCCUGGGGAGUACGGCCGCAAGUUUAAAACUCAAAUGAAUUGACGGGGGCCCGCACAAGCGGUGGAGCAUGUGGUUUAAUUAGAAGCAACGAGAAGAACUUUACCUGGCCUUGACAUGGUGAGAACUUUCCAGAGAUGGAUUGGUGCUUUGGGGAACUCAGACACAGGUGGCGCAUGGCUGUUGUCAGCUCGUGUCGUGAGAUGUUGGGUUAAGUCCCGUAACGAGCGCAACCCUUGUCUUUAGUUACCAGCACCUCGGGUGGGCAUUUUAAGGAGACUGCCGGUGACAAACCGGAGGAAGGUGGGGAUGACGUCAAGUCUUCAUGGCCCUUACGGCCAGGGUUACACACGUGUUCCAAUGGUCGGUACAGAGGGUUCCCAAGCCGGGAGGUGGAGCUAUUCUCACAAAACCGAUUGUAGUCCGGAUCGCAUUUUGCAAUUGGAUUGCGGGAAUUCGGAAUCGUUAGUAAUCCUGAAUCAGAAUGUCACGGUGAAUACGUUCCCGGGCCUUGUACACACCGCCCGUCACACCAUGGGAGUGGGUUGCUCCAGAAGCAGUUAGCUAACCUUCGGAGGACGGUACC
Molecule: ribosomal RNA, 860 nt
Filed under: Pseudomonas benzenivorans
Lineage: Bacteria; Pseudomonadati; Pseudomonadota; Gammaproteobacteria; Pseudomonadales; Pseudomonadaceae
Description: bacterial SSU rRNA
Rfam family: Bacterial small subunit ribosomal RNA
Source: RNAcentral